Molecule: ribosomal RNA, 981 nt
Filed under: human gut metagenome
Description: bacterial LSU rRNA
Rfam family: Bacterial large subunit ribosomal RNA
Source: RNAcentral
AUAACGGUCCUAAGGUAGCGAAAUUCCUUGUCAGGUAAGUUCUGACCCGCACGAAAGGUGUAACGAUUUGAGCACUGUCUCGACAACACGCCCGGUGAAAUUGAAGAACCAGUGAAGAUACUGGUUACCCGCAACAGGACGGAAAGACCCCAUGGAGCUUUACUGCAGCUUAAUAUUGGGAUUCGGUAUUGUAUGUACAGGAUAGGAGGGAGACUAAGAAGCUAGCACGCCAGUGUUGGUGGAGUCGAUGGUGGGAUACCUCUCUUAUAAUACUGAAUUUCUAACCUACUUCCGUGAUCCGGAAGAGGGACAUUGUUAGGCGGGCAGUUUGACUGGGGCGGUCGCCUCCGAAAGAGUAACGGAGGCGCUCAAAGGUCUUCUCAGAAUGAUUGGAAACCAUUCAAAGAGUGUAAAGGCAAAAGAAGGCUUGACUGCGAGAGUGACAACUCGAGCAGGUACGAAAGUAGGACUUAGUGAUCCGGUGGUAACAAGUGGGAGUGCCAUCGCUUAACGGAUAAAAGCUACCCUGGGGAUAACAGGCUUAUCUCCCCCAAGAGUUCACAUCGACGGGGAGGUUUGGCACCUCGAUGUCGGCUCAUCGCAUCCUGGGGCUGUAGUAGGUCCCAAGGGUUGGGCUGUUCGCCCAUUAAAGCGGUACGCGAGCUGGGUUCAGAACGUCGUGAGACAGUUCGGUCCCUAUCCGUUGUGGGCGUAGGAAAUUUGAUAGGAGCUGUCCUUAGUACGAGAGGACCGGGAUGGACGAACCUCUGGUGAAUCUGUUGGUAACCAAUGCCACAGCAGAAUAGCCAAGUUUGGAACGGAUAAACGCUGAAGGCAUCUAAGCGUGAAGCCAACCUAAAGACUAGAUUUCCCAUGCGAAAGCAGUAAGACUCCUUGUAGACGACAAGGUUGAUAGGCCAGAGAUGUAAGCACAGUAAUGUGUUCAGUUGACUGGUACUAAUAAGUCGAGGGCUUGACCAA